GUGGGGAAUAUUGGACAAUGGGCGAAAGCCUGAUCCAGCCAUGCCGCGUGUGUGAAGAAGGUCUUCGGAUUGUAAAGCACUUUAAGUUGGGAGGAAGGGCAGUAAGUUAAUACCUUGCUGUUUUGACGUUACCGACAGAAUAAGCACCGGCUAACUUCGUGCCAGCAGCCGCGGCAAUACGAAGGGUGCAAGCGUUAAUCGGAAUUACUGGGCGUAAAGCGCGCGUAGGUGGUUUUGUAAGUUGGAGGUGAAAUCCCCGGGCUCAACCUGGGAACUGCCUCCAAAACUGCAUGACUAGAGUACGGUAGAGGGUAGUGGAAUUUCCUGUGUAGCGGUGAACUGCGUAGAUAUAGGAAGGAACACCAGUGGCGAAGGCGACUACCUGGACUGAUACUGACACUGAGGUGCGAAAGCGUGGGGAGCAAACAGGAUUAGAAACCCCGGUAGUCC
RNAcentral lists this ribosomal RNA (450 nucleotides) under uncultured bacterium. Its description in RNAcentral is "partial 16S ribosomal RNA". It matches the Rfam family "Bacterial small subunit ribosomal RNA", at positions 354 to 796 of the family's 1533-position model. The record is from RNAcentral.